CCACGUAGCAUACGCUCCCACAAACUGCGGCCCAAACUUUCUUCUCCGCUUCCCUCGGCUGAGGAGCAAUUACAGCUCUGUCCAGCACCCGCCUUUAAUUAUUCCUGCAAAGAGCAUUCAUUUCCUGGACACCUCCGAUUGAGAAGAUGAGAUGGUAGGAUGCUUUCUAGUGUGGGUGAGAUAGGGUGUUGGUCAGAGCAAGGAUGUUGAGCGGAAUAGGACAGAAGAAAACACUUUUGAAAAAGCAAAGCCCAGGGAUUUGACUACUGAGGCCAUUUUAAUGUCUGCAAUGUCCUGUGGUGCUUUUGUGACAGGCCAGAUGUUUUCACAGAAACACACCCAGAGAUGGGAGCGGAGAACAAAGAUGUGCCGGAGAGGCGGCGAGCUCUGGGUCAGUGCCAGGUGAGACGACCCUCACAAAGUGAUGUGUUCUGCAAAGUGUGUCACGUUAACAGCACGUCGCAUCGCAGUCUGCCAAAACCCAUGGUUCCAACCACAGUGCCAGGCACGGACAGCCCCGGUAGAAGAGUGGGGACACAGGAUGCCCAACGGUUGCCAGAGGCCCGUGACACAAUAUGCGGCAUCUGUGUUAUUAUAUUGAGAAUGGCAUUGACUGGAAGGUUGUUAUCUUGGAGGGGAAAUGAGUUUUACACCUUUUCAAAGUUACUUCAACACAACUUGAAAACAAAAACUUAAUUUCCCUAAAAAAAAAAAAAACUAAAUAUUGACACCUUUGGCUCUCAAGCACAAUCCAAAACAGCAGGUGGAGUUACACCCCGAAACAUGUGGCCAUUUCACUCCAUGAGAGGCAUUCUGUAAAAGACACAGGACCUAUGGAGUUACUUCUUAUUAUUACACAUAGCGUAUAUAUAAAGUUAACAAAACAAUAAACAAACAACUGACUUAGUAGAAAAUACUUAGCCUGUGUGUUCCUGCUGUGCUGCAAAGCUAAUGGUACAUUCCUGCCACACACACACACGCGCGCGCGCAUGCACACAACACACAUACACACACCGCAUCUCAUUCAUUGUCUAUUCUUGUCUUGUCCCCCCCCUCCCAUCCAGCAGCUGAAGGGCAGGUCCUAUUCUUAAUUGAUCUGCGGAGAUUUCGGCUAACCUUCUUACUUUUGCAAAGAGAGAUGAGAGAGCACAGAUUAGAGGCAGGUAACAGGGCGGGGCGAGGGAAGAUUGAUGGGUGCUUCUUUUGCCGCUGCUGAUAUAGUAUAUCUACGACACUGCAAUGAGUUUAUGAAUCUCUUUGUAUCCAAUAAUUUGCCUGAAACAUCACUGUGAAUCUCUUGCAAUAACCUUGCAAGCAUGACAGAAGGGAACGAUGUGCUUCUCCUCAUCACCAAGUGGAAAAGAAAAGACACCAUGAAUGUCCCUGAACGGUGUUGCCUUUUUUUCAAAGAACAUAGCGAGGUGAUAAGGGGAAACCAUUAUCCAGGCAAUCGAUGAAGAGUGAGGGGGCUUCAUGAUUAAUGUCACCAUGCAUAUCCCAUAGCGAGGCCACAAGGAUGAUUGGUGCCCUGACAUUUACUUUUAGGUAAAAGUCAGGUGGAACAAAACAUUAGGGAUGCAAGAAAAGAAAUAAUGAAAAAGCCCAAAACCACACAGGCUACUAAAGGGAUGGGGAAGAGACUCGCCACUACAGACAAUGGCACAUGCGACAUAAGACAAUGAAAAGUGACUUGUUGAAUGUAAAGAAGAAACUAAAUAGUGCAUUUUAAAGAAUACUAAUGCAAACACACUGACGAGGCAAGAAGGAACAUUUUGAUCUUCCACUAGCACUUGCCAUUCAUGGCUGGUUACUCUCUACUGUUGUUUCAUUUCAAAACAUGACAAUUGUUAAUGUACCACCUCAGAAUACCUUUUCAGUGUCUCUGCUAUUUAGUUUGCACUGUAAUUGUUUAUAGAAUAUCUUAAGACGAGAGUGUAUCUUUCCUCUUCAGUCCAAAGGUGGCUUAAAAUGUGGGGAUAUAUUUGAACCUCUCUUCAUUAAGUCAUGACAUCCAUGUGUUGGUGAGCUCUCUUCAGUGUCAGCUCUCUACUGGAUGCAACUAUUAUUUACAGGAUUAGAGUGGCGGAGAUCUUAGCUCAAGCACUCCCCUGCUCAGAGUGAAGGAGAAAAGACAGGGAAAUUACCAGCUAAUGGAGCACUGGGCACUAAUAUCUAAAUCCCUGAUCUGCCUGUAAUUGCCACAAAAUGCUCUGGCUCGAGCUGUAUGUGAGACUUCUAAGCAACUCAGCUCCCUCACACACCUUCCUUGCUUUAUCACAGCAACAAGAAAAGUAGGAAGAGGGAAUAGAGGUCUUAUUUGCUCCCUUUCAGUCACUCUCCACUUUCCGCAGUGGAAUCCGCAAGACAUCAUUAAUUUCGCUCCUCUCUUGCAUUGGCCCUUGGAAAGGGACCCAAUUGACUGUCUUGAAAUCAGACACACGCACCUCCACCAGUGAUUAAUUUCCUUGUAUAGGGAGAUACUGUAUGGAAUGAGAGUGCUUGGUGGAAAGAUGUUUUAUUUUCAUAAGCAUUCAUAAUGAUUUAAUGACAAGACAUAUAUGACUCACUGCAACUUCGUGCAGAAACAUAUGGUUAGAGUGUAUUCUAGUGAGAAGACCAAUAAAAGAUGCGACUGUCCAACACUAGGCGGGGGUUCAUUAUUGUAGCUGCGGAAUCAUCACAGAAGAACAUUGUUCCAAUUAUUGGCUGUUGAUGACAGUAACAAGUAAGUAUUUUAAAAUUGAGAAUUGUCAUGUUAAACAACUGGUUACCACAUCUGCCUCAAAGUUCUUAGGACCCAGGAUCACAUCUGUCCUUGCUUGUGUGGAGCUUGCAUGUUCUCCUCAUGUCUGCGUUGGUUUUCUACUCUGUCUACUCUGGUUUCUUCCCACAUUCCAACAACAUGCAUGGUAGGUUGACUGAAGACUCAAUUGCCCAUAGGUGUGAAUGUGAAUGGUUGUUUGUA
This is a long non-coding RNA of Syngnathoides biaculeatus (alligator pipefish), 2965 nucleotides long. RefSeq lists it as uncharacterized. The transcript has 3 exons. NCBI's taxonomy places the organism in Eukaryota, Metazoa, Chordata, Actinopteri, Syngnathiformes, Syngnathidae. The record is from RefSeq and is a predicted model, not a curated record.